This 388-nucleotide ribosomal RNA is filed under the name uncultured bacterium. RNAcentral's name for it is "bacterial SSU rRNA". It matches the Rfam family "Bacterial small subunit ribosomal RNA", at positions 29 to 417 of the family's 1533-position model. The record is from RNAcentral.
AUUGAACGCUGGCGGCAUGCCUUACACAUGCAAGUCGAACGGCAGCACGGGAGCAAUCCUGGUGGCGAGUGGCGAACGGGUGAGUAAUAUAUCGGAACGUGCCCAGUAGUGGGGGGAUAGCCCGGCGAAAGCCGGAUUAAUACCGCAUGAGACCUGAGGGUGAAAGCGGGGGAUCGCAAGACCUCGCGCUAUUGGAGCGGCCGAUAUCAGAUUAGCUAGUUGGUGGGGUAAAGGCCUACCAAGGCAACGAUCUGUAGUUGGUCUGAGAGGACGACCAGCCACACUGGGACUGAGACACGGCCCAGACUCCUACGGGAGGCAGCAGUGGGGAAUUUUGGACAAUGGGCGCAAGCCUGAUCCAGCAAUGCCGCGUGCAGGAAGAAGGCCU